This 253-nucleotide ribosomal RNA is filed under the name uncultured bacterium. RNAcentral's name for it is "partial 16S ribosomal RNA". It matches the Rfam family "Bacterial small subunit ribosomal RNA", at positions 524 to 776 of the family's 1533-position model. The record is from RNAcentral.
UACGUAGGGAGCAAGCGUUGUCCGGAUUCACUGGGUGUAAAGGGUGCGCAGGCGGACUUGUAAGUCAGGGGUGAAAUCUUACGGCUUAACCGUGAAACUGCCUUUGAUACUGCAGGUCUUGAGUUCGGGAGAGGUUGAUGGAAUUCCGGGUGUAGCGGUGAAAUGCGCAGAUAUCCGGAGGAACACCGGUGGCGAAGGCGGCUUCCUGGACCGACACUGACGCUGAGGCGCGAAAGCUAGGGGAGCAAACGGG